Molecule: ribosomal RNA, 398 nt
Filed under: uncultured bacterium
Lineage: Bacteria
Description: bacterial SSU rRNA
Rfam family: Bacterial small subunit ribosomal RNA
Source: RNAcentral
AUAUUGCACAAUGGGGGAAACCCUGAUGCAGCGACGCCGCGUGAGUGAGGAAGUAUUUCGUUAUGUAAAGCUCUAUCAGCAGGGAAGANAAUGACGGUACCUGACUAAGAAGCCCCGGCUAACUACGUGCCAGCAGCCGCGGUAAUACGUAGGGGGCAAGCGUUAUCCGGAUUUACUGGGUGUAAAGGGAGCGCAGGCGGCACGGCAAGCCUGAUGUGAAAGCCCGCGGCCCAACCGCGGGACUGCAUUGGGAACUACCGGGCUGGAGUGCCGGAGAGGUAGGCGGAAUUCCUAGUGUAGCGGUGAAAUGCGUAGAUAUUAGGAGGAACACCAGUGGCGAAGGCGGCUUACUGGACUGUAACUGACGUUGAGGCUCGAAAGCGUGGGGAGCAAACAGG